CCUACGGGAGGCAGCAGUGAGGAAUAUUGGUCAAUGGCCGAGAGGCUGAACCAGCCAAGUCGCGUGAGGGAAGACGGCCCUACGGGUUGUAAACCUCUUUUGUCGGGGAGCAAAGCGAACCACGUGUGGUUCAUUGAGAGUACCCGAAGAAAAAGCAUCGGCUAACUCCGUGCCAGCAGCCGCGGUAAUACGGAGGAUGCGAGCGUUAUUCGGAUUUAUUGGGUUUAAAGGGUGCGUAGGCGGACUGGAAAGUCAGCGGUAAAAUCGAGAGGCUCAACCUCUUUCCGCCGUUGAAACGGUCGGUCGUGAGUGGGCGAGAAGUAUGCGGAAUGCGUGGUGUAGCGGUGAAAUGCAUAGAUAUCACGCAGAACUCCGAUUGCGAAGGCAGCAUACCGGCGCCCGACUGACGCUGAGGCACGAAAGCGUGGGUAUCGAACAGGAUUAGAUACCCCAGUAGUC
This 459-nucleotide ribosomal RNA is filed under the name uncultured bacterium. RNAcentral's name for it is "partial 16S ribosomal RNA". It matches the Rfam family "Bacterial small subunit ribosomal RNA", at positions 338 to 795 of the family's 1533-position model. The record is from RNAcentral.